GAUGAACGCUGGCGGCGUGCCUAAUACAUGCAAGUCGAGCGAACAGACGAGGAGCUUGCUCCUCUGACGUUAGCGGCGGACGGGUGAGUAACACGUGGAUAACCUACCUAUAAGACUGGGAUAACUUCGGGAAACCGGAGCUAAUACCGGAUAAUAUAUUGAACCGCAUGGUUCAAUAGUGAAAGACGGUUUUGCUGUCACUUAUAGAUGGAUCCGCGCCGCAUUAGCUAGUUGGUAAGGUAACGGCUUACCAAGGCAACGAUGCGUAGCCGACCUGAGAGGGUGAUAGGCCACACGGGAACUGAGACACGGUCCAGACUCCUACGGGAGGCAGCAGUAGGGAAUCGUACGCAAUGGGCGAAAGCCUGACGGAGCAACGCCGCGUGAGUGAUGAAGGUCUUCGGAUCGUAAAACUCUGUUAUUAGGGAAGAACAAAUGUGUAAGUAACUAUGCACGUCUUGACGGUACCUAAUCAGAAAGCCACGGCUAACUACGUG
Molecule: ribosomal RNA, 497 nt
Filed under: uncultured bacterium
Lineage: Bacteria
Description: partial 16S ribosomal RNA
Rfam family: Bacterial small subunit ribosomal RNA
Source: RNAcentral